Molecule: ribosomal RNA, 472 nt
Filed under: Pluralibacter gergoviae
Lineage: Bacteria; Pseudomonadati; Pseudomonadota; Gammaproteobacteria; Enterobacterales; Enterobacteriaceae
Description: bacterial SSU rRNA
Rfam family: Bacterial small subunit ribosomal RNA
Source: RNAcentral
AAAUUGAAGAGUUUGAUCAUGGCUCAGAUUGAACGCUGGCGGCAGGCCUAACACAUGCAAGUCGAACGGUAGCAGGAAGAAGCUUGCUUCUUUGCUGACGAGUGGCGGACGGGUGAGUAAUGUCUGGGAAACUGCCCGAUGGAGGGGGAUAACUACUGGAAACGGUAGCUAAUACCGCAUAAUGUCUUCGGACCAAAGAGGGGGACCUUCGGGCCUCUUGCCAUCGGAUGUGCCCAGAUGGGAUUAGCUAGUAGGUGGGGUAACGGCUCACCUAGGCGACGAUCCCUAGCUGGUCUGAGAGGAUGACCAGCCACACUGGAACUGAGACACGGUCCAGACUCCUACGGGAGGCAGCAGUGGGGAAUAUUGCACAAUGGGCGCAAGCCUGAUGCAGCCAUGCCGCGUGUAUGAAGAAGGCCUUCGGGUUGUAAAGUACUUUCAGCGGGGAGGAAGGGAGUGAGGUUAAUAACCU